RNAcentral lists this ribosomal RNA (504 nucleotides) under uncultured bacterium. RNAcentral's name for it is "bacterial SSU rRNA". It matches the Rfam family "Bacterial small subunit ribosomal RNA", at positions 1016 to 1520 of the family's 1533-position model. The record is from RNAcentral.
UCCUUCGGGAGCAGAGUGACAGGUGGUGCAUGGUUGUCGUCAGCUCGUGUCGUGAGAUGUUGGGUUAAGUCCCGCAACGAGCGCAACCCUUGAUCUUAGUUGCCAUCAUUUAGUUGGGCACUCUAAGGUGACUGCCGGUGACAAACCGGAGGAAGGUGGGGAUGACGUCAAAUCAUCAUGCCCCUUAUGACCUGGGCUACACACGUGCUACAAUGGACGGUACAAAGAGCUGCAAGACCGCGAGGUGGAGCUAAUCUCAUAAAACCGUUCUCAGUUCGGAUUAUAGGCUGCAACUCGCCUACAUGAAGCUGGAAUCGCUAGUAAUCGCGGAUCAGCAUGCCGCGGUGAAUACGUUCCCGGGCCUUGUACACACCGCCCGUCACACCACGAGAGUUUGUAACACCCGAAGUCGGUGGGGUAACCUUUUUGGAGCCAGCCGCCUAAGGUGGGACAGAUGAUUGGGGUGAAGUCGUAACAAGGUAGCCGUAUCGGAAGGUGCGGCUG